Small nuclear RNA from Gopherus evgoodei (Goodes thornscrub tortoise), 191 nucleotides. Its record names the gene U2. It matches the Rfam family "U2 spliceosomal RNA". From Rfam's summary of the family: U2 is a small nuclear RNA (snRNA) component of the spliceosome (involved in pre-mRNA splicing). Complementary binding between U2 snRNA (in an area lying towards the 5' end but 3' to hairpin I) and the branchpoint sequence (BPS) of the intron results the bulging out of an unpaired adenosine, on the BPS, which initiates a nucleophilic attack at the intronic 5' splice site, thus starting the first of two transesterification reactions that mediate splicing. The record is from Ensembl. NCBI's taxonomy places the organism in Eukaryota, Metazoa, Chordata, Testudines, Testudinidae.
AUCGUCUUUAUUUAAAUAUUCUCUAAUAAACUUUUAAAUCUGUUCUUAUCAGUUUAAUAUCUGAUACGUUCUCUAUCUGAGGACUAUAUAUUAAAUGGAUUUUUGGAACAGGGAGAUGGAAUAGGAUCUUGCUCCAUCCACUCCACGCAUCGACCUGGUAUUGCAGCACCUCCAGGAACGGCGCACCUCCC